UGUGUUUGUGGUGCCAUAUAACAAGAGGAUCUACCUCCGGAACUAAGUGACUUGUGCAACCUUUUUGAGCCACCCAACUUCGACAACGCUUGGGCCAUAAAAAUCCUCUUCUAAUGUUUUUCUGAUCAGACAAGUUGCAUCAAAGAACUUCUUAAUUUCAUGAUUGGAGUUUAGACUAUGACCCUUUACAGGAGUAGUGACAACAGAAGUAAAUGAAGUUUUUUUUUCUAGAUUCUUGAGAGUCUAGAGCUGGUUGCCAGAAUCUAGUAAUUGAACUUAUAGAUGUAUACUCUUUCUCUUGGUUUUGAAGGUAUUCUUAAUCAACUUAGUUCAAAGACUUAUGAAGAGCUCAUUGAAUUGCUAAAAGACUUACUAGUGGUGGGGAGAAUGCAAAGAGAAACUCUCCCAUUCUUUUCUGACAAAUUGUCAACUACCAACCUUAGAAAAGGAUAAUCCCAGGAUCUUUGCCAAUAAUUUCUUCCCCUCUUUGACACGGCUAAAGUGGAUGCAAGUGCUGAAGCUGCAUUUUGCACCUGCAAAGUUUCUAUGACCAACUUGUAGCAUUAAAAGCUGUAAAUGACUAUUCAAUUCCACUCCUUUAACAUGGCUCCCUCUUUUCUUUUUUUUUUAAAAACAAAAAGAAAAGGCUACCUAAGACGCCACCAAGUCUCAUUACUAGGAGAACCACCAAGUCUCAUUAUAGGGAAAAUCAUCAUAAGUCAUUGUUCUAUUUUUUUUUUUAAAUGUGUUGUUCUAACCCAAAGUAUGUAUGAUUACUUGCGAAAUACAAAAGAGUCCCUUUUGCCACCGGUCCGAGUCAUGAAAAUUUCCCCAUGCUAUGCUUUAAGUUCAUAUUGCAUUAGUCUAGGCCUUGGAUGAUCUGGAUCGCGUGUGCUUCGUGCCACUUGCAGCCGAACUCUUGCAGCCAAUUGUUGAUUUCCAAAGUCCAAUCCAGAUCUUGUGCUCGUUGUUUAUUAAUCAGGGCUUUUUAUUUACCAACAAAAAACCAAAAAACUGGCUGGGCAUAGUUUCAUUGAGCACGAAAAUAAGUUUCUUAUGUCCUUGAUGUGAAAUGCUUCUUAAGACUUAAGCUGCAUUUACAUUUCUGACCAUUUUGAGCUGGAAAGCAUGCAUGCUUCUAUAUGUCAAGCAAAGCGAUAAAAGGAUGUUCAAGCAUUUGCAGGUAUUUUGUGAUUAAUGUCUGUUUUCAUCUCCUAGUUUCACCCUUCCACAGGUGCCAAUGUGGAGCGAUCUCGAACAGAAAAAAGCUUCCAAGCAGACAUAAAUCGAUUUGCUGCAUUGACUGAUCACCUUUCUUCCUUAGGAACAAUGACACUUGAAACAGAAAACUCAUUUUCGAGCAGAAAUAAUCAGUGAUGUGAAUAGUAGUUCAUCCUGGAGUGUUCGUAACAUCUCUGAGAGAAUUUUGUUUCGCAAUCUAGCAGUUCUCCAAGAGAAGGUUUAUAGCCAAGCUUCCCCGCAUUGUAGCUGAAUCUCAGCCUAGAUCUUGGCGAGAGGGCCGCCAUGUUUUCCCACACGGUUUUCGAAUCGAUUUCAUGUGACAGUUAUUGUCACAUGACAAAGGAACAGAAAGAGAGGCAAAACAUUGUGUGUUCGUUUCGGGGCAUUACAACAGACUCCAAUUCCUUGGUCUCAUGUUAGGAGAUUCUAGUCGGUGACACCAUGACCAUGCUUUCUCACUCGGUUUUCUCUUUGCUCGUCCUUUCCCUUUCUCUUUGCUGCACAUAAGGGUGACAAAAAAUAAAGGUCUUUUUUUACACCCUUAUUUCUGUUGCAAAUUCUGAUGGUGGCUGUUUCUAAUUAUUAAACAGUGUUUCUUACACAAAUCACAUUUCUUUUUCAUUCUCCCAUGACUUAAGCUAAGGAUCCUUCAUUCUAAUUGUCAUGGAACUACUGAUUAAUUGAUGAGGGUGUAGUUGAGCUCGAUAUCUCCAUAUUUUGACCUUGUUGUUAGCUACAUCACAAGAGGUUUAGUAAACUAUAGAAUAAACUUAUAUAAAAAUUUUUUUGGAUGGAUCAGUAUCAUAAAUUACAUUACAAUUUUUGGUUUGAGAUGGUAAUGGAUAUACCUAGAAAAUGCUUGGAUAUUUUAGAAUAUUCUAUCAUCUUAUGGUUGUUAUUCAUUUAGAUUAAUUUUGUAUUUAUAAUUUAUAAACAUUUUUUAGUAUAUUAUUUUUUAUUCUGUCAUCUAAUGGUUGAUAUGCAAUAAUAUUAAUCUUGUGUAUAUAAAUUACAAACAUGCUUAUAAUUAUAAACUUUAUUUGAUUAUUAAACAAACCAAGCAAUGCAACACGUAGCAAUUUAUUACAAAAUUACAUCAAAGCUUUCAAGUUGGACCCAUCUCUCCUUGGAACUGACAAGAAACACAACACACAAAACUGCAGUUCGAAGCAGCAAGCUGGUGGUGCUCCAAAAUCCUUGCAGACUUUGCUGGAUUGAAGCAUCUGGAGCAGCCCAUGCUUCAUCUCCUAUUGCCAAGAUGAAACAAAAGAGCUCUCUCCUUUUCAAUGGAAGUGGGGGCUGGCCUGAUGCUGUAGAGCAGUUGAUAUCCCACCGAUGGUGGACCAUCAUCAAGGCUUUUUGUGCGGCUCCUCCGCAGAAAAAGAAUUUGUAAGAACAAUCUUUUAUAUUUUUUUUUAAUUCACACAUUAGCAGAUUUACAUGGUCCUUAUGUAAGAGCAACAUUAUUUUUAUAAAUAUUUCUUUAUCCACUCAUGUUCGAGGACCUUUUCGAAAGUAAGCCUCCUUCCGGGAUCCAAUUCCGUCAUACCUUGGAUAAGUUGCCUUGCAGAAAGGGAUGGAAUGCUAUCCCAAUCCAUAGAAUUGUGAUGGAGGUUCCUUAAAGUUCGAUCUCUCUUGCGUGCAUUAUUAAAUACCACCUCCACAUCCAUAUUUGGGAACGGACAAGCUGCCGUGAGGCAAGUGUAAAGCAGCAUCCCUAAGCCCCACACAUCGCUGGCUGUGAUAUAGCGCCCAUCGAGCAUCGCUUCGGGGGACAUAUAAUCCCACGUCCCAGCCCCAUGCUCGUUCCACGGAUCCUCCAUCCAGCAAGCCAUCCCAAAGUCGGACACCUUUGGGACAUAGAACUUCCCAGGCCACGGGUACUUCAGCAAAACAUUCGCGGGCUUCAGGUCGCAGUGGAUGAUCUCGUUGUCAUGAACCCUCUUUAGCGUCUUGGCGAGAGCUAUGACAAUCUUUGCAGAUUCUUCCUCAUCAAGCUGCCCCUUGUACUUGAUCCGGUCCUGAAGGCUGCAAUUGCACAGCUCAAGAACAAGGUGGUACACCUCCCUGUACUGAUUGGGCUCUUCUCGUAUGAUGUGCUCGAAGUGGACGAGCCCCUGUUCAUCCAAACCCUUGAGUGACACCUCUAGCAUAGCCAUCACUCGAGCUUCAAACAGCCCAUCGGGGCCAUGAACUGUCUUGAUCGCAAAAACCUUUCCAUCACUCCUUCGGAAUGCCUUGUACACCAUCGCUUGCCCUCCACCCCCAAUCGACUUCUCUAGUCUAUAUUUCUCUAUGAGCACUGGGUAUUUGUCACAGAGUUUUUCAUCCAGGACCGUGUGGUACUCCAUCCCUUGCCUAGGUUUCUUGAGCGCAUAGUUCUCCUGCUCGCACUCGCACUUAACCAUCUCGAAAGAGCUCUAGGGCUUGUUUGUAAAGGCAGAAUCUUAGUUUAUGCAUCUUUUAUUUUAAAGGUAUCAUGUUUAAGUGAACAUUUCCUGGAAUGCCAAGUGUGGAAGCAUGAGAGACUCUCGGCGAUGGGAUUGAGAACCACGACGUUGUCUCCUGGACGGUAUUGGUUCUGGGAUACGCUCGAAGAUUUGGCUCUGGAGCUCUUCUUGGAGAUGAUUGCUCGAGUUUUCUCGCGGCUAUCAAAGCUUGCUCUAGUCUGGCUGCGCGAGAGGAGAUUGAUGCGUCGUUGGCUGUGAAGAUCAAGAGCUUGGAACGAGCUUUGGCGAUUCACUCUCACGCAUCAAGCUCUCACGGCUUCAAGUUGGAGGCGAGGAGACAUACACUUGGCAAACGCGAUGGUGGACUUGUAUGGCAAGUGUGAAAGUCUAGAAGAUGCUCGCAGGGUGUUUGAUUCGAUGGAGCAGCACGACAUCGUUUCCUGGACAUCGAUCAUCACAGGCUAUGCUCACGAGAGCCAAGAUGGAGACGAAGCUUUCCUUCUCUUCUCUUCCAUGCAAGAACAAGGAUUUAAACCCGAUCGUUUAGCUUGUCUCGCCGCUAUCAAGGCUUGUAGCGUAAUCACGGAGAAGAAAAUGGAAUUUAGACGUAGAAUCUCUCGAGAAAGCAAUGAAAAUCCACUCGUGGAUCUCGCAGCUUGGCCUGGAGAGAGAUCCAGCAGUCUGGUUGAUAUGUAUGCCAAGUGUGGAAGCUUGAUCAUGGACGCUCGCAGGGUAUUUGAUAAGAUCUUAGAUCGCGACAUAGUCUCGUGGAACUCUUUCCUGUUUGGAUGUGUUUACAUUGGCGAGGACGAGCUUGCGUUGGAAUGCUAUGCAGCCCUUUGCUCCAAACUCUCAAACCUUUCUUGCGUUGUUGCCAGUUUGCAGGAACCUGGGAGAUUUGAAGCUCGGGAAGCUCUUCCACGGACAGAUUCUCCGGCAGGGACUGGAAGGGAGUUCUGUGGGGAUUUCCCUGCUUGUGUUGCGGACCACAUAGAAAUCGCUUCCUGCUUCCUGAUGUUGUCAAUCUUUCCAUCACUUUCUUUUCUCCAGGUCCGAAUCACAGCGAAAAGUGGAGCUACCUCUCUGAUACAAUGGCGGCAAUCGAUGGUGGCUUUGCGAAACCUUUGUGGCAAAAAUCCAAUGUGAGAGCUUGGCGAGAGCUUGUUGACAACACCAAGCUUGCUCUCGAGCUUGGUGACUGUGUAAACUCGCUGGUAGCAGCAAAACCAAGGCUCUCAAAACUCCAACAGGGAUCACGCCUUCAAAGAUUGUUUGGCGCGAAUCCUCAAAUAUACAUCAAAGUUUUUUCUCAAGUGCAUCUUUUCCUACUCGCAUGCUCCGAAAUGCUUGGAACCCAGCGAUGGCGUCUCCUCGAGCGCCAUGUCCUGCAAUCAAAGUAUUCCAUGCCAAAGUGUUGGGAGACGCAAUGGAGCUCUCAAACACAAGCUCGGCGACCUCGACGCUCCCGCAUUUACAGUAGAAGUCGAGACUACAUAUCACCUAGUCUGCAGUGAAGGAAAAAGAGAAAGAUCUCAUACCUAUGUGCAAGAUCUAGCAAUUCCAACUUGUCCACAAAUCAUACAGUUGCAUCCUAUCACAACAUUAUGUCCAAUCUACAUGCAAAGAAGCCAAGAGUAAGCAGUGCUUAAUAAAAGAAAAAAUUUCUCAAACGUGAACCAAGUCGUCAAGCUUCACCUUAUCCCAGAUGACUGUAUCACACCAGCUGAUGAUUAGUCCAGGGCAAAUGAGACUUCAGAAGAAGAACGAGCCACUUUUGUUACCUCUCAGGGUCGAGGAUGAAUUGGCACUCACUGCUUCCAAUCUUUAUCAGCAAUUCCUAAGAAAAAAACAUUGUUUAUUAUUUAUAAUAAAUCAGUGCUCCGAAAAUUUUGUAUUUUAACCCCACACUUUUAUUUUUCCCACUUUUCCUAAACAAGAUAUUGUUUCAGAAUGUUUAUAAAUUCUAAAUAUGUUAUAGUUCGCUAGAUUGACGGUUUGCUCAAAAGUAAUUUGUAUGAUCAAUUAUCUUUUCUAUUUUUAAUUUUAUCUUUACUCUCCUGUUCAUUGUUACGAUCAAAACUCUUGGUCAUAGUUUCACAUCUACGUGUACAAAAAAAGCUGGACGCUACUUGCGAGGAAAUGCUUGGUCGUCGACUUGAGGCAGGAGACCAAGCAGCUCAAGGCACAGUUGAGUUAGUUUCUUUCAUUUCUUCAGAUGUACAGUAUUUCUAGAGGAUGCUCGGAGCGUCUUCGUGGAGAUAGAGCAGCCGAACAAGGUUGCAUCAUAUCUAGAGUUGCGGAUUUCGACUAAUGCUCUGGCUAGAUGCGGAAAUGGCCUUAAUUCCGGUUGAGUUGGACCGUUUGCGGACCUCAUUUCAGCUGAAUUCGUUAGGGUUUGGUUGCGUGAUCAUGAAUGAAAAGUAGAUUUGGAAGCGCGAGAUUUCCCUCUGGAUCCAGGAAUUUUGAGAGUCAGGCCGAAAUGGAGAAGAUUUGGUGUCUCGGCUGCAUUUUCUUGCGCCGGCAUCUCAUUCCACGCGACGUUGCAUCACAUCUUGAGCAUCGAAGUAGUCAGUAAACUCAAGAUCCCUGAUGUAUCAUUCGAGAUAAGAUUUUGUUUAUAAACGGUUCCCAAGAUCCUUGGUGUCAUACCUCCAAGCAAACUUCUUCGCUUAAUGGUAAGAGAGCCAUCAUAAGCUAUGUCGUCUCAAAUCUGCAAUUGCAGAGCCCGCAUAUGUGACAAAAUGUCAAAACUGCGCUCAUGGAGUUGAUGUGUGAGGCUGUCUGCAGAGUAUCGGAGUAAACCCAUGGAUUUCGUUUAAUCAAGACGAUGGCUGAGGGGCACUCUUCCUUGUGGCUCUGAGGAUGGCACUGGGACCUCUGUUGCCUAGGCUGCAUCCAAACUCUCCCUAACUUUCGAAGUGGUGAACAAAAGUUUUUGGGUGAGAACAUGAUGGAGAGUGUGGUAAGUUGAGGAGGAAAGACUAAGAAAUCAUGCAAAAGAUUGGAAGGAAGAAGAGGAGAGAGGGAAGAGAACAAAGCACCUCUCUCUAUGUGAUUUUUAGGGCUGUGGAGUCCCAAAGGACUUUAAACAUGAUAACAGGGAUGGAGCUCAGCAUGGAUGGCUUGAACUCAAUGGACUUGGACACUCACUAUCACUAGCUAAGUUUUGUGGAGCAUUAUUGUAGCAUUCCCAUACCUUUUUAGCAUUUAAUUUUUACUAUUGAUUUUUGGUUUGCUUAAGCAAAUCUGUAAGUCUAGAAUAUGAGGAUAUUCUACCAUUUAAAAGUUGUUAUUCAUUGUUUAUAAUUUAUAAAACUUCUUAAGCACUUUCUAGUAUAUUCGUUUUUAUUUUACCAUCUAAUGGUUGAUAUGCAAUAAAAUUUAUAUUGUGUUUAUAAAUUAUAAACAUAUUUAUAAUUAUAAAUUUUUAUUUGAUUAAUUGGAUUAAUAAGUAAGAAUAACAUUACUAUUGAGCAAACCAAACAUUGCUAUGACUGAAAGCUCACCAUGCCUUUUCCCUCCUCUAAGGAGAAUAAUCUCCCCAACUUAGAGACUUAUUAGACCACUUGUGGUGGUUCUCUCCCUUUAUUUAGUUUAAUUUUUGUUAGACCCAUUAAAGACACCUUUUCUAUCUCUGCAAUGCGUAACUGAUUUUUACUAUUUUAUAUAAAAACACAAUAAAAUAUCCCUCAAACCAUUUUACAUAAUUAUUAGAGGCAGUAAAUUGCAUUUGUGAGGUUCAAGUGUACAAUUACGAUGCCAUAUACUAAUAUUAGAGUCGUGGGAUUUUGAUAAUUAUUAGAUUAGUUUUAAUAUUCAUUUCUAUAUAUAAACUAGGGUUUUGGGCUAAUUGAUAUACAUAUUUCUGUUUUCCAUUUUUAUAUUUUAUGCAUGGUGGAGGUGAAGUGUAGUUUUAAUUAUCCCUAUGAAGUGUUUGGAUUUAGUAUUUUAGUUUGAUCUAACUUUUAUAUAGUUUAAAUUUUCUUUUCUUUCUAGCUUUUCCAAUUUCUUCUUUGUUGCUUUUCCUUUAUAUUCAUCUUUAUGGCAGAGCUUUCUCUUUUAACUUUGGAGCAGUAGUUGGUGCAAUUACUUGAUAUUAUGUGAUUAUAAUUGAAUAAUCAAACUCAAUUAAUGGCAACAUUCACAGCAUGUGAUAGAACUCCUCACCAAUCCUUGCGUCCGGUUGGAGUUCUUUUGUGGGAGUCCUAGAGAUGAUGUGUACUAUUAGUUUGAUCAUUUUAUAGCAUAUAUUAUUUUUGGGAUAAUGCUCAGUGUUUGCAUGAAUUUCCCACAUGUGUUUAAAGGACAGUGUUAUAGUGGUAUAGUGGUUUAAGUGCAGUUACUCAUGAGGAUUAGAGCAUUCUCCUAAAUGUCUUUAUGCAUUUGGACAUGCCAACAAUUAUGAUGAUGCCUUCCAACAAUUGCAUCAUUUUUGUCAAAGGCUGUCUAAGUUAAUGAUGUAAUUUGAUGUUUGUUUUUUGCUUCAUACCAAAUAUGUCAGAGAGGAUCAAAUUAAAUGUUGUGGCCAACACUUCAUAAAGAUCUUGUAAAAUUUAUGUAUACACUUGCUCUAGCCACCCUAGAUAAUACUCUUCACUUGGCAUAAUGUUAUGAAAUGUUAUUUUUUCCACUUCUCAUUGUAUAUCCUUUAGUUCCAUUUCUUAUAAAAGAUAGUCAUGUUCUAAUGGAGGUGGAUGUUAUUGCCACCUAAGUUCAAGAACAAGGACGAAGACGUAAUUAUAGCUGUGAUGUUUAUUGUUGGGCAUAUGAUAAAAGUGGUUACAUUUAUGAGUAUUGUUAAUAUUUUCAAAAGUGGUGACCUCCAUUUCCUGGGUGGAAACUUUAAUAUCAACAACAUCCUAUUAGUGUUGUUACAAUAGAAAGUCUAAAUAUUGAGAUGCUUAUGAGAAACAAAGAGUUGUAAGAGUAAAGUGGGAACAUCCACAACACCAAGAAUUUCUUCGAUUAGAGCUUUGCGUCUUGGAAUCUGAUGAUCACUGCCUACUCGCAUGACAGCCAGGUGAAAUCUGCCAAGAGCCUCUUCAAUCAAACUCCAGCCAAGAACCUCCUCCUCUACAACGCAAUGUUCAUAACCUAUGCCCAAAAUGAGUGCCAUGCCCUUGCGAUUGAGCUCUUUGCCUUGAUGCUGUGCAGAGAUCUCGUCUCCUACAAUGCAAUGCUCUCUGCGCUCGCGAAAUCUAGCCCUAUUGAUCAAACCAAAGAUUUCUUCGACCUAAUUCCCGAGAAGAACAUCGUUCCAUGGAAUGCGAUGCUCACAACAUAUGCCGAGAAUGGGCAUCUGGAAAUGGCGAUUUCCAUGUUCGAUUCGAUGAGCCAUCAUGAUAUUGUGUCCUACACUGCCAUGCUCACUGCGUAUGGAUCGAGCGGCCAGAUAGAACACGCAAGAACAGUGUUUGAUUCGUCACCCCAGAAGGACGUUGUUUUAUCAACUGCCAUGCUCGCAGCAUAUGCCCAUUUAGGGUUCUUGGCAGAGGCUAGCACAAUUUUCCAAUCUAUGCGAGAAUGCAGCAUAAUCACGUGGAAUUCUAUGUUAGCUGCUCACGCAUUGAGCAGCACAAUCGAGAAAACGAAGUGGAUUUUCGAUUUGAUGCCGGUAAGAGAUACAGUGUCUUGGAUUUUGAUGUUCAGCGCAUAUGCCCAGAUUAGGCAUCUGGAGAAAGCGAUUUCCUUCUUCACGACAAUGCCAAUGCCACACGCAGUCCCAGAUCGCGUCGUGCCCUGGAACACGAUGCUCGCGGCGCACGGAACCAGCGGCCAGGACGCCGGGGCCGCGAAUUUGCAAGGUGUGGCCCCGGAUGCCGUCUCCUUUUGGGGGCGUUUGGCCACACCGGGGACGUGGAUUCCAGCUGGAGCUACCUUGUGUCGAUGCGCAGCGAUUACUCGAUCCAGCCGGAGAAGCUCCACUUUGGGUGGGCGAUCCGGGCUCGAGCUGGGAACUUCGAUUUCGCCCGGGAUCUCCUCGACAACAUGCCAUUCGUUCCAGGGAUCGAGCAAUUGAGCUGCCUGACACUGUUCUAGAGCCAAACAAAUUAGAUUUCGUCCAGGAACUUCCAGAGAUCGAGCAAUUGAGCUAUGACGCAAUCGCCCAUCUCGAGAUCUAGACUAGACAAUUGGUAGAAACAAAGAUCUUCCUCCUUGGUCCUUUCAAAGGGCUGUCUCUUCGCUCUUCGGAGCACUGGCCGCCUCGACUCUCUCCUGGACAGCAUCCACAGCCUUGUCUUGGACGCUGCUUUUCCCCUUGAGAUCCUCGGCCGCGGCCUUGAGCUCUCCCGCCGCGGCCUCUUUCUUCUCUGGAGCAACGUCGGCCUCUCUCGACUGAUAAGUGUGGAGAUAAUCCUCGGCCUUCUUUACGUAGUUCCCAAACGGCGUGCCUUCGAGCUUGCCAUAGUGUGAGGCGCCCUGGAGAAUGUCCUCGGCAGCGUCGGCGAGCUUGGCAGUGUCCAUACCCCCACCACCACCUUCCUUCUUAGCUCCUGCUCCUCCCAUUUGCUGCUUCGCGGCGUCUAGAAGAACGUUGGCACUGCCCAUAAGCUCCGAGUAGCUUGGAACUUCGCCGCUGGUCUUCUUUGCCUCCCCCGUGCUGCUCUUCUUUGGCUCCUCCGUGCUUGGUCCAUGGCCUGCUUCUUCCGUCUUUGGCUUCUCGCUCUCCUUCUCUCCGCUGAGAAAGGAUCCUGCCUGCUUCUUGAAGAAAUCCAUACAGGAAAAAAAGAAAUGUGAGCAGACAAAGAGAAGAUGAACCGAGAAGAAGAGCCGAGGGUAAACU
This 10476-nucleotide long non-coding RNA is filed under the name Selaginella moellendorffii. RNAcentral's name for it is "long non-coding RNA (SMOE_LNC001323)". The record is from RNAcentral. Lineage: Eukaryota; Viridiplantae; Streptophyta; Lycopodiopsida; Selaginellales; Selaginellaceae.